Streptomyces sp. is the source of this 61-nucleotide regulatory RNA element. It matches the Rfam family "Actino-pnp RNA". The record is from Rfam. NCBI's taxonomy places the organism in Bacteria, Bacillati, Actinomycetota, Actinomycetes, Kitasatosporales, Streptomycetaceae.
GCCGGUCCUCGGUAGUGGCCCCCGGAACGGGGAAUUCCGGGUGCUUCGAUCGAAGACCGGC